RNAcentral lists this ribosomal RNA (349 nucleotides) under uncultured bacterium. RNAcentral describes it as "partial 16S ribosomal RNA". It matches the Rfam family "Bacterial small subunit ribosomal RNA", at positions 338 to 684 of the family's 1533-position model. The record is from RNAcentral.
CCUACGGGGGGCAGCAGUGAGGAAUAUUGGUCAAUGGGCGAGAGCCUGAACCAGCCAAGUCGCGUGAAGGAUGACGGCCCUACGGGUUGUAAACUUCUUUUGUCAGGGAGCAAGAGGGUCCACGCGUGGGCUUAGCGAGAGGACCUGAAGAAAAAGCAUCGGCUAACUCCGUGCCAGCAGCCGCGGUAAUACGGCGGAUGGGAGCGUUAUCAGGAUUGAUUGGGUUUAAAGGGUGCGUAGGCGGAAUAUCAAGUCAGCGGUAAAAAUUCGGGGCUCAACCCCGUCGUGCCGUUGAAACUGCUGUUCUUGAGUGGGCGAGAAGUAUGCGGAAUGCGUGGUGUAGCGGUGA